Molecule: non-coding RNA, 598 nt
Organism: Callithrix jacchus (white-tufted-ear marmoset)
Lineage: Eukaryota; Metazoa; Chordata; Mammalia; Primates; Cebidae
Source: RefSeq, a predicted model, not a curated record
GUAACUGUGCGACCUGUCUAAGUUCCGCUUCUGCCCAAGAUUUGUUCCGGAUUAAGUUCCUCCACAACCAAUGUUUCCCUCGAACCAGCUUUCCGUUCGGAUCAACUUUCCGUUUGUGCCAACGUUCCGCCACGAUUAGCGUUCUGCUAUGUCACUUUAGAUUUUCCAGGAACUCAUCUGGAGUGUCCGUGCAGAUCACAGAGGUUAACAUGGCGUCCAUGGCACCGUCAGUCAACCUAAAAGACCUUACACCACCUUCCCAGGGAGGUUUUGCCCAGAGUCUUGCUCUGUUCCCCAGGCUGGAGUGUAGUGGUGGGAUCUCAGUUCACUGCAACCUCUGCCUCCCGGAUUCAAGCGAUUCUCCUGCCUCAGCCUCCUGAGUAGUUGGGAUUACAAACAUGCGCCACCAUACCUAACACCCAACUAAUUUUUGUAUUUUUAGUAGAGAUGGGGGUUUGCCGUGUUGGCCAGGCUGGUCUCGAACUCCUAACCUCAGAUGAUCCACCCGCUUUGGCCUCCCAAAGUGCUGGGAUUACAGGCGUGAGCCACCGUGCCCGGCCUAUUCCCUUACUUUCUUAAUAAACUUGCUUACACUUUG